AAGACCAUACUUUCAGGGAUCAUUCUAUAGUUCACUCAUUACUAGAGAAGUUGUUCUGAACAUGUAGGGGCAAGGGAAACCACGCUGAGGAGGCACAGUAUUCUCUUCUGAGCUUGAAGCCAGCUCUUCUUGCUUCGCUGCACCUGCCAUUUGCCAUUGAUGAUCAUUCUAACCUCAGGUGAUCUGCCCACCGCUGCCUCCUAAUGUGCUGGGAUUAUAGGCAUGAG
Small nucleolar RNA from Callithrix jacchus (white-tufted-ear marmoset), 227 nucleotides. Its record names the gene U3. It matches the Rfam family "Small nucleolar RNA U3". From Rfam's summary of the family: Small nucleolar RNAs (snoRNAs) are involved in the processing and modification of rRNA in the nucleolus. There are two main classes of snoRNAs: the box C/D class, and the box H/ACA class. U3 snoRNA is a member of the box C/D class. The record is from Ensembl. NCBI's taxonomy places the organism in Eukaryota, Metazoa, Chordata, Mammalia, Primates, Cebidae.